GACCCAGGUUUGUAUAAGCAUUCUGAGCAUGACAAAAGAUUGCAUCUAAUGCAGCAUAAUUAAAAGCACAAAGAAGGAAACUAAAAACUUAAAAGAGCCUGGUUAUCUUGGUCGUAAGAAUCAAGAGGUAGGCUUGUCAAAUCAACAGAUCAUCACAUUUAGAUUUUAGACAUUUUUGGAUCUGUAAUUUGUCUAGGCCUGGGAAAUCAACAGAUCAUCAAAUUUGGAUUUAUCUAUAGUUCAUUUAAAACCAACUUAACAUCCACAAUUCUAUAUUGGCUUACAAUUGGGAUGCACCUCAUAUUACUCACUAUAACUUUGACUUAUAGAAUUCAAUAGGUAGUAGCUAACAAUUUUAGUGAAAUAAUUUAUGUACCCACUUAAAUAAAAUACAUAAGAAUAAAAGAAAGCCCAUACAAGAGAUCUCGAAACCAUUUUUAACAGAGACAAUCAAUGUAACAGAUGUUAUAUCCAUCUUUCUCUUGAAAACUGCUACAUAAUUACAUAAAAUCAUAGCUAUUAAAGGCGUGCCUGAG
This 536-nucleotide unclassified non-coding RNA is filed under the name Hevea brasiliensis (rubber tree). Lineage: Eukaryota; Viridiplantae; Streptophyta; Magnoliopsida; Malpighiales; Euphorbiaceae. The record is from RNAcentral.